Molecule: ribosomal RNA, 1164 nt
Filed under: Escherichia coli
Lineage: Bacteria; Pseudomonadati; Pseudomonadota; Gammaproteobacteria; Enterobacterales; Enterobacteriaceae
Description: partial 23S ribosomal RNA
Rfam family: Bacterial large subunit ribosomal RNA
Source: RNAcentral
CGCUUAGGCGUGUGACUGCGUACCUUUUGUAUAAUGGGUCAGCGACUUAUAUUCUGUAGCAAGGUUAACCGAAUAGGGGAGCCGAAGGGAAACCGAGUCUUAACUGGGCGUUAAGUUGCAGGGUAUAGACCCGAAACCCGGUGAUCUAGCCAUGGGCAGGUUGAAGGUUGGGUAACACUAACUGGAGGACCGAACCGACUAAUGUUGAAAAAUUAGCGGAUGACUUGUGGCUGGGGGUGAAAGGCCAAUCAAACCGGGAGAUAGCUGGUUCUCCCCGAAAGCUAUUUAGGUAGCGCCUCGUGAAUUCAUCUCCGGGGGUAGAGCACUGUUUCGGCAAGGGGGUCAUCCCGACUUACCAACCCGAUGCAAACUGCGAAUACCGGAGAAUGUUAUCACGGGAGACACACGGCGGGUGCUAACGUCCGUCGUGAAGAGGGAAACAACCCAGACCGCCAGCUAAGGUCCCAAAGUCAUGGUUAAGUGGGAAACGAUGUGGGAAGGCCCAGACAGCCAGGAUGUUGGCUUAGAAGCAGCCAUCAUUUAAAGAAAGCGUAAUAGCUCACUGGUCGAGUCGGCCUGCGCGGAAGAUGUAACGGGGCUAAACCAUGCACCGAAGCUGCGGCAGCGACGCUUAUGCGUUGUUGGGUAGGGGAGCGUUCUGUAAGCCUGUGAAGGUGUGCUGUGAGGCAUGCUGGAGGUAUCAGAAGUGCGAAUGCUGACAUAAGUAACGAUAAAGCGGGUGAAAAGCCCGCUCGCCGGAAGACCAAGGGUUCCUGUCCAACGUUAAUCGGGGCAGGGUGAGUCGACCCCUAAGGCGAGGCCGAAAGGCGUAGUCGAUGGGAAACAGGUUAAUAUUCCUGUACUUGGUGUUACUGCGAAGGGGGGACGGAGAAGGCUAUGUUGGCCGGGCGACGGUUGUCCCGGUUUAAGCGUGUAGGCUGGUUUUCCAGGCAAAUCCGGAAAAUCAAGGCUGAGGCGUGAUGACGAGGCACUACGGUGCUGAAGCAACAAAUGCCCUGCUUCCAGGAAAAGCCUCUAAGCAUCAGGUAACAUCAAAUCGUACCCCAAACCGACACAGGUGGUCAGGUAGAGAAUACCAAGGCGCUUGAGAGAACUCGGGUGAAGGAACUAGGCAAAAUGGUGCCGUAACUUCGGGAGAAGGCA